This 254-nucleotide ribosomal RNA is filed under the name uncultured bacterium. RNAcentral's name for it is "partial 16S ribosomal RNA". It matches the Rfam family "Bacterial small subunit ribosomal RNA", at positions 524 to 776 of the family's 1533-position model. The record is from RNAcentral.
UACGGGGGGAGCAAGCGUUGUUCGGAUUUACUGGGCGUAAAGGGCGCGUAGGCGGUCGUGACAAGUCACUUGUGAAAUCUCCAGGCUCAACUUGGAGGGGUCGUCGAAGACUGGCGAACUAGGGUCUGGCAGAGGCAGGUAGAAUUCCCGGUGGAGCGGUGAAAUGCGUAGAGAUCGGGAGGAAUACCAGUGGCGAAGGCGGCCUGCUGGGCCACGACCGACACUGAGGUGCGAAAGCGUGGGGAGCGAACCGG